This 807-nucleotide small RNA is filed under the name Pongo abelii (Sumatran orangutan). RNAcentral describes it as "retained intron". The record is from RNAcentral. Lineage: Eukaryota; Metazoa; Chordata; Mammalia; Primates; Hominidae.
UAAACGACGGACAAUUCACGGUCAUCCAGCUCGUGGGCAUGCUGCGGGGCAUCGCCUCGGGCAUGCGGUACCUUGCCGAGAUGAGCUACGUCCACCGAGACCUGGCUGCUCGCAACAUCCUAGUCAACAGCAACCUCGUCUGCAAAGUGUCUGACUUUGGCCUUUCCCGAUUCCUGGAGGAGAACUCUUCCGAUCCCACCUACACAAGCUCCCUGGGAGGAAAGAUUCCCAUCCGAUGGACCGCCCCGGAGGCCAUUGCCUUCCGGAAGUUCACUUCCGCCAGUGAUGCCUGGAGUUAUGGGAUUGUGAUGUGGGAGGUGAUGUCAUUUGGGGAGAGGCCGUACUGGGACAUGAGCAAUCAGGACGUAAGUGUCCCGUGGUUGUACCAAGCUUUCCUUGAGUGUUCUCUCACUGGGAUUUGGGGUGAAGGGUGGGUUCCCAGAGAGUCAUCACUGCUGGGUUCUUGAGACCAUGCAGAUGACAAAAAGAAUUGAUCUUUGUAUCAAAGAGUUGAGAUGCAGGGCCAGGCCUGGUGGCUCACGCCUGUAAUCCCAGCACUUUGGGAGGCCAAGGUGGGCAGAUCACCUAAAGUCAAGAGUUCAAGACCAGCCUGGCCAACAUGGUGAAACCCCAUCUCUAAAAAAAUACAAAAAAUUAGCCGAGCAUGAUGGCGGGUGCCUGUAAUCCCAGCUACUCAGGAGGCUGAGACAGGAUAAUUGCUUGAACCCAGGAACAGAGGUUGCAGUGAGCUGAGAUCACGCCAUUACAUUCCAGCCUGGGCAACUGAGCGAGACUCUGUCUUAAUAA